GACAGAGGGUGCAAACGUUGCUCGGAAUUACUGGGCGUAAAGCGCGUGUAGGUGGAUUGGUGUGUCAGAUGUGAAAGCCCUGGGCUCAACCCAGGAACUGCACCUGAAACUACCAGUCUUGAGUGGUGGAGAGGGAAGUGGAAUUCCUGGUGUAGAGGUGAAAUUCGUAGAUAUCGAGAGGAACACCUGCGGCGAAGGCGGGUUGCUGGGCUGACACUGACGCUGAGGCGCGAAAGCCAGGGGAGCGAACGGG
RNAcentral lists this ribosomal RNA (253 nucleotides) under uncultured bacterium. Its description in RNAcentral is "partial 16S ribosomal RNA". It matches the Rfam family "Bacterial small subunit ribosomal RNA", at positions 524 to 776 of the family's 1533-position model. The record is from RNAcentral.